This 439-nucleotide ribosomal RNA is filed under the name uncultured bacterium. RNAcentral's name for it is "partial 16S ribosomal RNA". It matches the Rfam family "Bacterial small subunit ribosomal RNA", at positions 339 to 795 of the family's 1533-position model. The record is from RNAcentral.
CUACGGGUCGCUGCAGUGAGGAAUAUUGCACAAUGGGGGGAACCCUGAUGCAGCAACACCGCGUGGAGGAUGACGCAUUUCGGUGUGUAAACUCCUUUCAUAUGUCAAGAAAAUGACGGUAGCAUAUGAAUAAGCACCGGCUAACUCCGUGCCAGCAGCCGCGGUAAUACGGAGGGUGCAAGCGUUACUCGGAAUCACUGGGCGUAAAGGACGCGUAGGCGGGUUGGAAAGUCAGGUGUGAAAUCCUACAGCUUAACUGUAGAACUGCACUUGAAACUUCUAAUCUAGAGUAUGGGAGGGGGAGAUGGAAUUAGUGGUGUAGGGGUAAAAUCCGUAGAUAUCACUAGGAAUACCUAAAGCGAAGGCGAUCUCCUGGAACAUUACUGACGCUAAGGCGUGAAAGCGUGGGGAGCAAACAGGAUUAGAUACCCCCGUAGUC